GGUUCUGGAGCGAGGGCACCAGCAUCUACCUUCUGGGGUGCUCCUUGUUAGCUGUGUGGCUGGGAUCACAUAGGCUCCCUACUCCCUCUGUGAGUGAGGACUCCCAUCUCUAAAACGGAGCAAAAUAGUACCUGCAUCAUCAUGUCAAUGUGAAGAUUUCAUGAAAGAAAUUCAGGAAACUUUUAAAGGGGCACCUGGGUGACUCAGUCAGUUAAGCGUCUGCCUUUGGCUCAGGUCAUGAUCUCGGGGUUCUGGGAUCGAGUCAACGUGUCAGGCUCCCUGCUCAGUGAGGAGCCUGCUUCUUCCUCUCCCUCUGCCCCUCUCUCCCGCUCAUUCUCUCUCUCUCUCUCUCUCUCUCUCUCUCUCAAAUAAAUAAAAUCUUUUUUAAAAAGUAGCUGGCAUUUGGCAACUAUACAAUGAAAUUAGCUGUCAUUAUUAUUGUUUUUAUUACCAUUAUUAACACAAGACGUGUCUCUGUUUGCUUACUGAUGCUCUCCCUGAAGACUGACUUGCUCCAGAUCUUUGCUAGAUCCCAGAGGUGGAGAGACCUUCCUGCCCUGGAGCUGCCCACAGUCUACUCCAGGAACAAUGGAAGUAGAGAAGAUUCUGUUUUGAUCCAAGUAACUCAAGACCAUGUGACAGCACAGAUUUGGUUCCACACCACAAAGAGUGUUAAACAUAUAUCAACAUGGUACAACAGGAAAAGUAAAUCAACAAUAAAGGGGAGAAACCAGGAAUAAGAAGAGAAAAGGCAGGGGAAAGACGAGUCCAUAGAACUUUAUUCCAUAUGAUCUUGGACCAGAGGUGAGUGAUUUUUGCUCUGAACUUUCUAGUGACCAAGACAAAGAGAGAAACCAGGUCAUUUGCAAAAUUAGUGGUGUCCCUAAGAUGAAAACAGGCUGUUGUUCACAAGUGAUGCAUUUGUUCUAAAAUUCUUAGCUUCUACCAAAAAAUGUCCCUAGCUGCUAUUAACUGUUAGCACUACAUGACUGUUGCCAUCAUCAUCAUCAUCAUCAUCAUCAUCAACUACUAAUAUGGUGGUUUGUUUGUUUGUUUUAAUUUUCUACAUUUUAUUUUCUCAUUUAUAGUUGGAAUUUUCACAGAACAGAUAUGAGUACUGCUCACUUGUUAAACAAAAAAGUACUGAUUUGGAGAUAUUAAAUGAUAUCACCCUCUUUACCCAAAUAAAAAGUGGAAUAGUUGAGAUCCA
RNAcentral lists this long non-coding RNA (1210 nucleotides) under Vulpes vulpes (red fox). RNAcentral's name for it is "lncRNA (ENSVVUG00000000920.1)". The record is from RNAcentral. Lineage: Eukaryota; Metazoa; Chordata; Mammalia; Carnivora; Canidae.